This 376-nucleotide unclassified non-coding RNA is filed under the name uncultured Acidimicrobiia bacterium. Its description in RNAcentral is "contains 16S-23S intergenic spacer region". The record is from RNAcentral. Lineage: Bacteria; Bacillati; Actinomycetota; Acidimicrobiia.
UCCGAGUUGACCCCGGCAGUCUCCUACGAGUCCCCACCAUUACGUGCUGGCAACAUAGAACAAGGGUUGCGCUCGUUGCGGGACUUAACCCAACAUCCCACGACACGAGCUGACGACAGCCAUGCACCACCUGUGUAGAGCCCCGAAGGACACCGUAUCUCUACGGCUUUUCCCUACAUGUCAAACCCAGGUAAGGUUCUUCGCGUCGCAUCGAAUUAAGCAACACGCUCCGCUGCUUGUGCGGGCCCCCGUCAAUUCCUUUGAGUUUCAGCCUUGCGGCCGUACUCCCCAGGCGGGGCACUUAAUGCGUUAGCGCCGGCACUCAGAGGGUCGCUCCCCCAAGCACCUAGUGCCCAUCGUUUACGGCGUGGACUAC